GACGAACGCUGGCGGCGUGCUUAACACAUGCAAGUCGAACGGUGAAGGGACUGGUUUUGCUGGUCCUGGAUGAGUGGCGAACGGGUGAGUAACACGUGAGUAACCUGCCCCCUUCUUCUGGAUAACCGCAUGAAAGUGUGGCUAAUACGGGAUAUUCUGGGUCUGUCGCAUGGUGGGCCUGGGAAAGAUUGCGCCUUUUUUGGUGUUUUUGGUGGGGGAUGUGCUCGCGGCCUAUCAGCUUGUUGGUGGGGUGAUGGCCUACCACGGCGGUGACGGGUAGCCGGCCUGAGAGGGUGGACGGUCACACUGGGACUGAGACACGGCCCAGACUCCUACGGGCGGCAGCAGUGGGGAAUAGUGCACAAUGGGCGCACGCCUGAUGCAGCGACGCCGCGUGAGGGAUGGAGGCCUUCGGGUUGUGAACCUCUUUCGCCAGUGAAGCAGGCCUGCCUCUUUUUGUGGGUGGGUUGACGGUAGCUGGAUAAGAAGCGCCGGCUAACUACGUG
RNAcentral lists this ribosomal RNA (506 nucleotides) under uncultured bacterium. Its description in RNAcentral is "partial 16S ribosomal RNA". It matches the Rfam family "Bacterial small subunit ribosomal RNA", at positions 28 to 507 of the family's 1533-position model. The record is from RNAcentral.